CCCUUAGAUGUUCUGGGCUGCGCGCGUGCUACACUGAUUAUUUCAACAAGUGUUUUAACUGGAGAGUUUGCGUAAUCCUGAAAUGUUAUCGUGAUGGGAGUAGAGUAUUGUAUUUGUUAAUCUUUAACGAGGAAUUCCUAGUAAGUGUAGGUUUAUAAGUUGUUCUGAUUACGUCCCUGCCCUUUGUACACACCGCCCGUCGCUCCUACCGAUUGAUUGAUCCGUGAAUUACAUAGAAUUUUGCGUUUUACAUGACGGAAGAUGAAGUGUUUUAAACCUUAUCAUUUAGAGGAAGGAGAAGUCGUAACA
RNAcentral lists this ribosomal RNA (309 nucleotides) under uncultured eukaryote. Its description in RNAcentral is "partial 18S ribosomal RNA". It matches the Rfam family "Eukaryotic small subunit ribosomal RNA", at positions 1470 to 1796 of the family's 1831-position model. The record is from RNAcentral.